UACGUAGGGCGCGAGCGUUGUCCGGAAUUAUUGGGCGUAAAGAGCUUGUAGGCGGUUUGUCGCGUCUGCUGUGAAAGGCCGGAGCUUAACUCCGUGUAUUGCAGUGGGUACGGGCAGACUAGAGUGCAGUAGGGAGACUGGAAUUCCUGGUGUAGCGGUGGAAUGCGCAGAUAUCAGGAGGAACACCGAUGGCGAAGGCAGGUCUCUGGGCUGUAACUGACGCUGAGAAGCGAAAGCAUGGGGAGCGAACAGGA
RNAcentral lists this ribosomal RNA (254 nucleotides) under uncultured bacterium. RNAcentral's name for it is "partial 16S ribosomal RNA". It matches the Rfam family "Bacterial small subunit ribosomal RNA", at positions 524 to 777 of the family's 1533-position model. The record is from RNAcentral.